Molecule: long non-coding RNA, 3172 nt
Organism: Rosa rugosa (rugosa rose)
Lineage: Eukaryota; Viridiplantae; Streptophyta; Magnoliopsida; Rosales; Rosaceae
Exons: 2
Source: RefSeq, a predicted model, not a curated record
UUUCUUUCAUUAAUUUGGGUGAUCUCAAUAAUUUCUUGAUUUUGAUUAGGCUCUGAUACUAAAUUUGUCAUAUAUUCUUAAAUCCAUGUUCCAAAAGUCAAGUGCAUGGAAGUUCAUUUGAUAGUUCUUUAUUCUACUUGUAUUUAUCAUAAAUAGCUGAACUUAGAUGUAAUUCAUGAAAUAUAACUAGUGCGAGUAACUGGCUGAACCCAGUUGAUUAGCCUUCCUAAAUGUGAACUAAAUGCCUAACAUUCUUUGCAGUAGUGAAUAGUGAAUAUUUAUGCAAGUGCACAUGUACUUUUCUCCCUUAAAGCAGUGUAGUUGUACUUUCUUAACUACCAUUACUAGGUGAAGUUAGUUGAAAUUCAUGAGAAUUGUAUUUGGGUCAUUUCAUUUGCAUUGUGAUGUUCUGACAUAGGGCAUUUCUAGUUAACACCAGACUGAGUUCUCCAACUAUUCUUGAUAUUGGUAUAUAAUUCACCUUUUGGUGUAUGAAGUCAGAAAAUGUCCCCUGGGAAUUCAUGGUCAAUGGGUUGUUUUUCAUUUGGCUACCAAAAUACUUGGUGAGUGUUAUAUAAUAGCUAUUAGGUCAGCCAUGCUAUAUGACAAUUGUUAGCCCAUUUUCCAAUAGUUUAAUCUUUUAGAAUAGAGGUAAGUCAAGAAACUUUUAUUCUAGUUCUAGAGUCAUCACCUGUCCAACAAAUGUUAUCCGCGUAUUAGAAUCAUCAAGUGUAGGUUACCUUAAUAAAAAGCGCAUGUAAGAAUUGCCAGUCACCCUCAAAAUUGACAAUUUAUCUUGUCUAUAGUCCCCCAAACAAAGGUAUCCGCGUGAGGUUUGAUUAUUGAACAGUAGUCCUAUUUUGAUUGGGCCAAGUGUUUAUAAAGCUAUAUACCAGCUGUCGCCUUUCCACCUGACAACUUAAAGCCUUUUUGUACAGUGGUGAAAAAAUUUAUCAUGGUAUCAGAGUAGGGGAGUGUAGGAAUAGUGGUGCCACACUUUCAGUAUGCGAAUCCUUAUUGUUGGCAAGUAAUUGUAUCGAUUUUGUCUUGGAGAAGAAGGGGUUUGGAAUUCUUUGGAGGAAAAGGAUGAGAGGAUGCUUGAAAUCUUUGGAAUUCUCCUUCAUUAUUAAUGAAUUCUCCUUCAUUGAGAAAGUUUGGGGCUUCUACAGGGUACAGGGAUUAGGGUUUAGGGAGAUUUGUUGCCCCCGCUCUUAUUUACUAUGGUUGUCUACUUGUUGAUUUUUUCAAUAGAAUGGUGGAUAGAGCCGCAGCGAGGCAUUUAUAGAAGGUUUGAGUGUGUUGGGGGGUGGGGAUAGAAGAAAUUGAAAUGUCUCAUUUUCAAUUUGCAUACGAUACUAUUUCUUUCUCUCCAGCACUUGGCUGAUCUCUCAACAGUAAUUGAAUCAUUUUGUGUGUGCUUAUUUUAUUUUGCUUCUGGGACGAAAACUAAGUGGGUGAGGUGUUCAGUAGCUGGGAUUAACACUCAAAUAGGAAGAGUUGAUGAGUUGGCCAAAAUUCUGGGAUUUGGAAUAGGAAAUUGGCCAAUGAAAUAUGUGGGUCUGCCUUUUGGAGGGAUUCCUACGGCAGUGAGUUUCUGGGAUCUGCUAGUGGAGAAAGUGGAGAGGAGGCAGAAUAACUUUGAUUCAAUCAGUGUUGAGCAGUUUACCAAAUUUUUAUCUCUUACUGCUUUGAAUCCCUGCUAGUGUGGCUAAGAGGAUUGAGUGAUUGAUGAGACAUUUUAUAGGAUGGGAGGAAAGAAGGAAAAAAAAAUUAUAUGGUAAAUGGGAAAAUGGUGAUUCAAGUAAAAGAAAAAGGUGGUCUGGGGUUGGGAAUUUGGUGAAAAGAAAUGAGGCUCUACUUGGGAAACGGCUUUGGAAAUUCUAGAGGGAAGAAAUUUACUAUAAUAUGCAGUCAUUAGAAGUAAAUAUGGACUAUAAGAAAAUAGGUGGGAUUCAAAUAUUGCGCUCCCAUGUUCAAGUCAUAAUCCUUCGAAAGAUAUAUUGAAUGGAUCAAUUCUAUGACUGCUUGAGAUGAAAGAAGAAGAAAAUGAUUAUUUAGUAAAUGGGAAAAUGGCAACUCAAGAAAGAGGUGGUCUGGGGUGGGAAUUUAGUGAAAAGAAAUGAGGCUUUACUUGGGAAAUGGCUUUGGAAAUUCCAGAGGGAAGAAAUUUACUAUAGUAUGCAGUCAUUAGAAGUAAAUAUGGACUAUAAGAAAAUAGGUGGGAUUUAAAUAUUGCGCUUCCAUGUUCAAGUCAUAAUUCUUCGAAAGAGAUAUCGAAUGGGAUAAAUUCCAUGACCGCUUGUUUUAGUUAUUCCAUGGUGGGGAAUGGGUAAAAAGUAAGGUUUUGGGAAGAGAGAUGGGUCUGGCAUAGAGCUUUCUUUCAUUUCUUUCCUGAUUUCCACAGAUUAUUUCCAAAUCAUAAUAAUUAUAUUGCCAGAAUGUGUAUCAACUGUCUCUUUCUUGUAAGUUGAUCUGAGUUUCGAACACACCGAAAUAACCUGGAAGUGGAGGAACUAUUAGCACUAUUAUCUACAAGUGAGAUGAUGCUGGUUCCUUCUAGAUCAGAUAGGAGAAGGUGGAUGGGGAUAUUUUCUUGUAAAUAUUGUUCGAUUUGUUUGAUGGACAAUCCCCUGUUCAAAAUAUUUUAUGGACAACCCCAUUCUUACACAAUUUACUCCUCACUAAUCUGGAAGACCAAGCUUUAGCUCUUGGAAUAGGCUGUUCGGAGAAGCUAUAUUCAGAUGGAUCAUCCCAGCUAAUUGCAUGGCCCUUGUGCAAAGAACACAAACAAAAUUCAGAUGGAUCAUCCCAGCUACUUGCAUGGCUCUUGAGCAAAGAACACGAACAAAAUUUUGGUGGGAAGAAGGAAGGACUGUUGUUGGGAAGAUGUACUAUGAUGGCUACCUUCUGGGAUCUUUGAGUGGAAAGAAACAAAAGGAUUUUUCAAGGUUUGAGGGAUGAGCUUCCUUAUGGACAUCAGUUUCUUCAGAUUUUAUGGAUUGCUCUGUUUCUGCUAUUUUCAUAAGUUGGUUUAUAUUUUGAUUUUUGAGUAGUUCUUUGCGGGCUUUGUUUGUGCUUUCGUAGUUGCACUCUCUGUUUGGUGAAAGUCUUAUCCACUGUUGCGUAUCCUCUUUAUUUUUAAUAAAUUCUAGUUUCCUACUCAGAAAAGAAA